This is a long non-coding RNA of Hemicordylus capensis (graceful crag lizard), 1647 nucleotides long. RefSeq lists it as uncharacterized. The record is from RefSeq and is a predicted model, not a curated record. The transcript is spliced from 3 exons. NCBI's taxonomy places the organism in Eukaryota, Metazoa, Chordata, Lepidosauria, Squamata, Cordylidae.
UCGCCCGGGUGUUGCUGCCGCCGCCGCCGCCGCCGCCUCCUGCUCCUCCGGCCUCAAGCUGCAUUUCUGCCCCUCGCCGGAGCUUGGAGCGAUGUCAAGCUCCGCCGGGCUGGGAUGCAGCAGCAGCAGCAGGGCUGGGAUGCCGCUGAAGCUGGGCGGGGGGGGCUGCGAGGAGGAGGCGGCUGCAGAGCACCAGCGACCCGGCGCAGCGUUAAUGAGGCACAGGAGCAGAUGUGGACAUUUGCAUCUAUAAUUUGUCCCGCUUACUAAAAGGAUGAAAAUAUGGGCCUCAGUCUCUCCUGCCUGAAAGGCUUUAAAACAUGUGUCAGCAGAGGUGGCGGUGUUGGCGGCGGUGGCAGCAGCCGCCGCGAGGUGCCCACCGUGACUGACAAGCGCCUGAAAGUCCCGGACAUUAUUAUCACGCCCCCGACCCCCACGGGGAAGGCCCUGUCAAGAGAUGGCAGGCCGGCAGGUGAAGAGUCGGUGUGCAACUGCUGAGCCAGAUGGCUGGGGAGGCCGCCUGCUGUGGAGAGGCCAGAGGGACCAGGAGAUGCCAUGAAAGCGCCCGGCGCUGUGAACAGCUUGCUCAGGAACUCGUCUGUGCCUCUGGGUGCCCCCAACCCUCCUCCCUUUCCUCUCCCCCCGCCUUACUGGGCUGAUGAAAGAUUUAUUAAUAGAUCCACAUAUACCUCAAUGCUGGGACCACCGCACUGUUACAGGCUUCCGUCAAGCGAGGACGUGCUAGGAAAUUAGCCGAGCCCAGGGCCUGGAUGCCCGAGAUGGAUGGCGCCGGAAGGCAGACGGCAAGGAAGGGUUUUGCUGGGCAAGGCAAGCGGCGUGGCCCAAAGCCCCGGAAAACUCAGGCGCGAAGGGGCAAGAGCUCAUCCGCAAGACCUCUUCCCGACUGCCUUUUUGGUGGUGCAUAGGAGGGUCCUUAACCCCCACCCAGCCACCCCCGCCACCAAUAAUAAUGCAUCAGGAUGUGCACCUCUAACGCAUGGCAGCCAAAUAUCUCCACCACCACCCCAUUUUUCAGGACCAAACAAGCCCAAAAUAGAACGGUUGUGGCUGCUCCUUGAGACUGGGAUUCCACACAGGCAAAGAGUGACUGGGAUACGGAUUCCCUGAGGGUAGAUCAUGCUCUUCAUUAGUUUAGUUUCCUCUAAACCAGGGAUUCCCAAUCCCAGGCCCUCAGAUGAUGUUGGACUACAAAUCCCAUCAUCCCCAGCCACUGUGAGUCACAUCAUCCCCGUUGGGAAUCCCUGGUCUAAGUUGGUAGAAACAAAAUUUUUCAAAAGGUCACACGCUGGUGCAGGCAUGGUGGGGAGUAGUCUUCACUAUCGACCUCACUGGCACUGUCCAAUAGGAUGCUACAACCACAUUCCACAACGCAUAGGCAGGAGCAACAGAAACACUUGCAGAAGGAACAUUCACAUGUUCUCAACAACAACCUCUUCCUGUUUCAGUGUCAAGGAAACAUGAACUUUUGACAACCUAAACCUUGUUAAGGAAAGAUGCAUGGAAGUCAUGGACCUCAGCUGAGUGUGUGUGUUGUUGUUUUUAAAAAGUGCAUUUAUUGCAUGGAAAUAGCUGUAAGACGAGCUAAAUGAAAAGAAAGUGGAGAAUGCACCAAUAUUUGUUCCAGUG